AGCCCUGGAACACCUUUAGGGGUUCGUCU
RNAcentral lists this transfer RNA (29 nucleotides) under Trachylepis cf. varia clade B. Its description in RNAcentral is "partial tRNA-Cys". The record is from RNAcentral. Lineage: Eukaryota; Metazoa; Chordata; Lepidosauria; Squamata; Scincidae.